UACGGAGGGCGCGAACGUUGCUCGGAAUCAUUGGGCGUAAAGCGCACGUAGGCGGCCUGAUAAGUCGGAUGUGAAAGCCCUCGGCUUAACCGAGGAAGUGCAUUCGAAACUGUCAGGCUUGAGUAUGGGAGAGGGUUGCGGAAUUCCCGGUGUAGAGGUGAAAUUCGUAGAUAUCGGGAGGAACACCAGCGGCGAAGGCGGCAGCCUGGACCAAUACUGACGCUGAGGUGCGAAAGCGUGGGGAGCAAAC
Molecule: ribosomal RNA, 250 nt
Filed under: uncultured bacterium
Lineage: Bacteria
Description: partial 16S ribosomal RNA
Rfam family: Bacterial small subunit ribosomal RNA
Source: RNAcentral